UUAGAUUGCAAACUCUCCAGGACAGGGAGAGUUACUAAGCAUUACGUACACCAGCUACUACAAUGAGAUUCUGACCUUGGUUGGGGCCUCUAGGUGCUACUGGAAGAAUGGCAGAACUCCUUAACAUAAUACUACAGUUUAGUUGUGGUAUAACAGCAUAAGAAAUCCCAGAGGAAUUCUUCAAGCAAGAUUGAAGAAACCUUUAGUGGCUGGAAUAUUCUGCCCAUAAAGAUUAAAGAAGACUUCAGGGGUGUUGGAAGAGAACUAAAGAAAAGGAAAGUUCAAGUGAUCUUCACAGAGAUCCUUCCAGUCCCAUGAGCAAGAAAAGGCAGAAUACAGAUAAUACUGGAAGUGAACCAUAGGCUGCAUGAUUGGUGUGAAGCUGAAGGUUUUGGUUUUGUGGUACGCUGGGCCACAUUCCAAAGGGAAAGAGAGCUUUACAAAUGGGACAGCCUGCAUCUCACAAAUGUGAGAUGGGUUAUCUUCUCAGCUGAAGACUAGCUGCAGCAGCCAGAAGGAUGUCGAAAGAUAACAGUAAAUAGAAAUAUUACUCUGUAUUUCAUGGAAUAGAUUGCAACUAAUAUUUGUAAGUUACAAGUUUUAACUCCUUGUUUAAAAAAAAGUAACUAGAUUUUGUAUAAACUGUGUUGCGGUGUGACUCAGAAGUUCAGUGCUUUUGAAAAUUUUACUCGAAGUCCCAUUUUCAGAUUUUACCUAGGUACUUUUGAACCUAAACUCACUGGAAGUCAUUGGUACUUAAGUGUUUUGUGGACCAGAUUUUUGAAGUAUUUAGGUGCCUAAAGAUACAGAUAUUGCCUGGUGAGAUUUUUCAAAAGCACCUGGGUGUCUGAAUCCUGGAAGUUAGGUACCUAGGUGCUUUUGAAAACCCUACUAGGUGUCUAUCUACAUAUUUAAGUGCCACACACUUUUGAUAAUCUGGCCCUCAGUCUCCUUUGAAAAUAUGACUUAGGAGCCUAAGUCAUUUAAGCACUUUUGAAAAUUUUAGCCUUCACCUGUGAGGGUCAAAAUUAAUUUCAAUCUGCUUAGUUAUGUAUUUGAGCAGUGUCACAACUUUAAGCUGUAGUGGGCAAGCAUGGAUAGGUUCCAGUCCAGCCUUCCUUUGUGAAGAUUACGUGUAGGCCUGAAGAAGGCUUUCUCCAGCAGUGAGCUGAGAACAUCUGAUGUCAUCAUGGGGACUUUUAUUAAAACAGUGAAAUAAACAAUAGCAUCUAAAAUUGCAGAGUAAGGAAAGGAUUCUGACAAAUGUAGGUUCAGUCAAGAAAUGAUUUGAUUAUAAUGUUCAAAGUAAUUUUUCUGAGCUAUCUAAAGAAGGGACAAUGAUAUCUAUCUAUUGUAGCUAUUUAUAAGGCCUCUGUCACUUUGGUAUCUAUAUGGUAUCUAUACAAUAAGAUAAUUCCAUUGCCAGAAUAAAUUUCAGUCUGGUAUACCUUUUAGCAUUAUUUUUGGUAUUUAUUUAUUUGUUUGAGAUAAAAUAAUUAAUGUUUUAAUAAUUAAUAAAUAGCAGACACAUCAUAUGAAAAUGAGUUAAUUGGCAUAUUCGUUUAGCUUGUUCAUUUGAAUCCUAAUAGAGGCUGGCACCUCUCCAUUUAUCUCACUUCAAAAUGUUUACUGAAAAUGAGUGACCGUUGUAUUUGAACACAGAGGAGCAUUCUUCAUGUAAGUUUCUCCCUGUAAUGUUAUGUGGCUAAAAUAGAAUUCUGCUGGAACACUGAGUCACGGGGACUGACCCAGCAAAGCGCUGUGUGUGUGACACAUAAUGAAAGGUUGAACUGUCUGUCUCCGAGGUGGCGUAGCAGAUCAAAUCACAGAGGAUCAGGCAGAGAUAUGUUGCCUUUCUCUGAGUGACAGAAGUUAAUAAUUAGUGACAAUGAUUGACAGAUACACUCCAUCUGCCGCUCUGACGCCCAGGAGCAGUUAUUCCACAACUGUCUGCGGGCACAAUGAACUCCUGUGGGAGAGAAAGAUGGCCUGUGAUUGACAGCUGCCUUCAAGAGAGACAGGCCACUGACAGUAAAGUCACUGUCAGCAAAAGUGCGAAGUCUCCCCCUGUUCCCUGGAAGUCUCACUUGCUGUAUACAUUUAUUCUGUUUCAUUUAUUAUGUCAGGUAUGGUUUUAAAUACAUUACUAGCAAGCCUGUUUGUUAACUGUAGGCUUUUUCAAAUGGUAAAUUAGAGAUAUCCACAUACUGUGACACUUCAUCAUCCUACUACCUAUUCUCUAUAGUACAUUGGACAUAGACUGAUUAAAUACAGAUAUCUGAGUAUGUUUAUCUUUCUAUCUGUACUGGAAGAGGAGAAAUCUUGCACUAUUGCCCCUGUAAAUUGGGAUUCUAAAGGUUCACAAAAUAUGAUGUUUGUACCUCAUCCAUCCUGUUUUUAAAACUUUUUCAAA
This is a long non-coding RNA of Mauremys reevesii (Reeves's turtle), 2413 nucleotides long. RefSeq lists it as uncharacterized. The transcript has 4 exons. The record is from RefSeq and is a predicted model, not a curated record. Lineage: Eukaryota; Metazoa; Chordata; Testudines; Geoemydidae.